CCAAAUGCUAUCCAUUCGUUCUGAUUGGUCAGUUUUUGUUUGUUUAUUUUUUUGCCAGUGGUGAUAAAUGAAAAGAAAACUAGUUACAAAAAAUGCUCAUAUUUAAUUAUGAAAACGUUAUUUUGGUAGAACAUUGUUUUUCUUGAUAAUAUGCAUUAAUAAUAAUUAUCAGACAUUCUUCCAUCCUUCACCAAGUGUGUUGGUUGAUGCACUUUUUCACAAUUCUUUUCCUCGGCCUGUGGCCCACUUCAUUAUCAGCCUGCAUAUCGUCGGUGACCUCUGUCUGUUUACCCUCUAUAAUUUACAUAAUUUACACCGAGGAUGACAGUGAGUUACACUUACACACAGACCUGCACCAUCCAGACAAGCGUGACAGCAUAAGCGGCGUGAUGGCUAAUUUCGCAGGCCGAGUUGUUCUAAUUACAGGUAACUAUGACAAACUAGGUUUCCUCCACAGAGACAUGCGUGUAGAUGGUUGUAGGAUCAAGUACUCUCAAGAAGGCUGUCACUUCGAGGUGUUAUGAGCGAGUGCUGGAAUUGGAGAAGGGACAGCAUUGCACUUUGCCAAACAUGGCGCCAAACUCUCGCUAACGGGGCGGGAUAAGACCUAGAAGACGUCGCUAAGCGAUGCUCAGAGUGCGGGAUACCUGCUGGUGACAUCUUGACUCUGACGCAGCGUUCAGGAAGGCCUGCAUUGAAAAGACAGUCGCCAGGUUUGCCAGGCUCGACGUAGUGGGAACAUUGUAAACGUAUCAAGUCGCUCAAGU
Molecule: long non-coding RNA, 767 nt
Organism: Haliotis rubra (blacklip abalone)
Lineage: Eukaryota; Metazoa; Mollusca; Gastropoda; Lepetellida; Haliotidae
Exons: 4
Source: RefSeq, a predicted model, not a curated record